AUGGGAGCCAGAGCAAGCGUCAGAGUGUGUGAUACGUGGGGAGCACAGCCGCAGUCCCGUGGGUUCGUGCUUUUGUUUAGAGCUUUUCUUUUCUGGAGAUUCAUUGUGCUCAUAAAAAGUACUGGGGGGCCGUGCUCUGUGUGCCGCCCUCCACGGCCCGGCCCGUGCUCUGUGUGCCGCCCUCCACGGCCGUGCUCUGUGUGCCCUCCACGGCCCGUGCUCUGUGUGCCCCCCACGGACCGUGCUCUGUGUGCCAACCUCAACGACCCGUGCUCAGUGUGCCCCCCAAAAAACAUGGCUCUGUUGUGUCACCCUCACAUACCGAGUUCUGUGGUAAUCUCAU
Molecule: long non-coding RNA, 343 nt
Filed under: Oryctolagus cuniculus (rabbit)
Lineage: Eukaryota; Metazoa; Chordata; Mammalia; Lagomorpha; Leporidae
Description: lncRNA (ENSOCUG00000032581.1)
Source: RNAcentral